Molecule: long non-coding RNA, 2380 nt
Organism: Gallus gallus (chicken)
Lineage: Eukaryota; Metazoa; Chordata; Aves; Galliformes; Phasianidae
Exons: 6
Source: RefSeq, a predicted model, not a curated record
AUCUUGCUGGAGAUUUGUGUGUAACUGAGGUCUUCUAAAGUUUCUCACCACUUAAACCAAAGAAACUGAAAAAGAAGAGUAAAAGACUGUUCAGUUCAACCAGAUUUUUAAUUAAAAAAGUCCUACAUAUAGAGAUGAGCAUUUUCGGCGUCUGUAAUACUGCUGAUCUGUUCUGUCUAAACCUAAGCUGUAUCUUUGAGAAGAGUCUUUGGCCAUUUGGUCCCUUUCAAAGGAAGACUUGAAGGUGCUGCACUUCAUUUCAGGAAACACAAUUUGACUGGGCUCCAGGACUUCUGAUUUGUUCUCCUCAACCACUGGACAUCACAAAGGGCUGAAAGCCAAUCCUAAUUUUUUGCUGAAGAUUCAGUGGGGCAACAUAGAUUAAUGUCCUUUUGCCUCUGCUACCAGAACAUCUUGCAAAAGGAGACUAAAGGAAUGGAUGAAGAUAGAAUGAGCACUAGAUUCCCACAAACAUUGUCCACGGAGAUUCUGAAGUCCUAAACUGGAAGAGAGGAGGAUAUCUUGUGUGGGGCUCCAACCAGGUAUAGAUAAUGUGUGACACUGUAUUAUACUAAGGACAUAAUAAGGUAUAAUAGUCCAGUUCACAGGCAUCUCAACUUGGGCAAGUAGAAUUUAGUGAAAACAUCAGACCUUAAUUUCUUUGUGCAUACAGAAUGGUGAUUAGCAAUACCUUCUUAGGCAGUUUCUGUAAAUAUUUAUGAAGUGCAUGAGAUGCUAUAGCAACAAGCAACAUGCAAAUCUCAGGACAAAAUUUGUUUUGCUUUUGGUGUGGGAUAUGAUUAGCGUGCAAAAACAACGUGAGGGCUGAGAAAUUCCUCUGACCGCACAAUAGACAGUGAGGCAAAAGCAAAGUACUGUUUAAUAACAGCUAAUUUUGCAUACUGAAAUAAGUGGAGCCCUGUGAAGAAUGUCUUUGCUUUUUGUAUCACAGUAUCUCAAAGACUGAAGUAACAGAGGCACUAUGGAUUUUGCCUACAUUUCAAACAAGAAAUAUAUGUGAUGAUUCAGAUAGAACUGAUGGCAAAUGUGUAUCCUUUUUCCAGCUGUUAACCUCUGUACUGGUGCUCUAUAAUUCAUGGGUCCCAUAGAGGUUUUCAGGGCGAGAUAAAAUAUCAGAGUAUUGCAUUCAAGUGGACUACAAAGUGUUGAGUAUUUUGUUCUGCCUUCUGCUGGCUACUGACAGUGAAUUUUGUGUUCAGAAAGACUUCUCUUUAAAUCAACACUCCUUUACAAUAAUAUUGCCCCAAUGAGAGACUUUAAUAAUACAAGAAACCAGCAUGUUUAAAUACAUAAAAACCACAGUAGGGUAGAGAAACCACAACAACUCAGCAGGCCUGUGCAGGACCAGCAGCUACAGCAAUGAGAGGAGGAUGAAGAAGACUGCCAUAUAAAUUCAGCUUACAGAAAUUAUUUUGUUUGACUGAGGUUGCAAAAUGACAGUGAGAGAAGUGAUAAAAUGGACUUUCCAGGGUGAAGUAAUCCAGAAACCUUAGCAGUCUGAAAAUCAUUUUUUCUAGUCUGUCUCAAUCUUCUAAUAAUCUAAACCCUGGUCAAAGGGAUUAUUUGUGUGGUAGAUGGUUAAAGACUGAUUCUGGGAAAGUCAGAAUUAACAGAAAUGGUUAAAUAUUAGGAAAGAAAACACUUUGCAUUGUUUAAUUUGCUGUUUGCAUACCAUAAAAGAUAUCUUCUAUUUCAUACAACUUUCUUCAUAUUUCAAAUAUAGGUGUGAAGUUGUUUGCAUUCCUAAGCACUGUGUUAAUAGAGAGCUAAACAUUUCUCUGAUAUUGGCAAAGAAGUAUCCUGCACUGAUGCCAUGGACAAUGGAAAUUUUUUUCAAACUAACUGCAUGAUUAAACUGUACUUGUUUUCAUUUGAUUGUAGUGACCUUAAUACGCUUAAUACGCUGAAGUAUUUCUUUGCAAGUUGUUAAACUCCUGUUCUGUACUUUAUAUGCAGUUAUGUUCACCUGUUAGAAAGAUACCCAAUAUUUAUGAUUCUGUAGACAUCAGCAGUAGAGCUAGCAGAGAAGUCUCUUACUCAGAGCUGAAUUAAUAAACUGGCGUAGCAUCGGGGCCAUUGUGCUAGUGGAAGUUAUAUAUUUCAGAUAAGACACGUUGUUUUGCAUAACUGAACUAGUGAAUAGUAUUCAUGUUACCAGGACAUUGGAAUAAUUCAGUGAUGAGAAAGAAUAUUCCAUGGUCUCUAAUCCUACAUUAGAGGAAUCAGAUCUGUCUGUAGUCUCAGUAGAAGAAAAUCAGUAUUUCUGUAAUUUCAACAAAGGUAUUCCUGUGUUCAGUCAUAGAAGUACCUCAGUCUUAGAAACACCAAGGCAAAUCCAGUGUUCUUACUUCUUGCCUAG